Molecule: ribosomal RNA, 361 nt
Filed under: uncultured bacterium
Lineage: Bacteria
Description: partial 16S ribosomal RNA
Rfam family: Bacterial small subunit ribosomal RNA
Source: RNAcentral
CCUACGGGAGGCAGCAGUGAGGAAUAUUGGUCAAUGGGCGGAAGCCUGAACCAGCCAAGUCGCGUGAGGGAAUAAGGCCCUACGGGUCGUAAACCUCUUUUGCCGGGGAGCAAGGGCGGGGACGUGUCCCGGCCCGGAGAGUACCCGGAGAAAAAACAUCGGCAAACUCCGUGCCAGCAGCCGCGGUAUUACGAGGGAUGCGAGCGUUAUCCGGAUUUAUUGGUGUUAAAGGGUGCGUAGGCGGGCUGUUACGGCAGUGGUAAAAAUUCGGGGAUCAAACCCGUCCGGCCGUGGAAACUGGGGGCUGUGGGGGUGCGAGAGGAUGCGGGAAUGCGUUGUGGAGCGGUGAAAUGCGUAGAUA